UACGGAGGAUGCAAGCGUUAUCCGGAAUUAUUGGGCUUAAAGCGUCCGCAGGUGGCAAUUCAAGUCUGCUGUCAAAGGUUCUGGCUCAACCAGAGACAGGCAGUGGAAACUGAAUAGCUAGAGUGUGGUAGGGGCAGAGGGAAUGCCACGUGUAGCGGUGAAAUGCGUAGAGAUUUGGAAGAACGCCGGUGGCGAAAGCGCUCGGCUAGGCCGUAACUGACACUCAUGGACGAAAGCUAGGGGAGCGAAUGGG
This 253-nucleotide ribosomal RNA is filed under the name uncultured bacterium. Its description in RNAcentral is "partial 16S ribosomal RNA". It matches the Rfam family "Bacterial small subunit ribosomal RNA", at positions 524 to 776 of the family's 1533-position model. The record is from RNAcentral.